This 63-nucleotide transfer RNA is filed under the name Rattus norvegicus (Norway rat). It matches the Rfam family "tRNA". Rfam says of the family: Transfer RNA (tRNA) molecules are approximately 80 nucleotides in length. Their secondary structure includes four short double-helical elements and three loops (D, anti-codon, and T loops). Lineage: Eukaryota; Metazoa; Chordata; Mammalia; Rodentia; Muridae. The record is from Rfam by way of RNAcentral.
GGGGAUUUAGCUCAGUGGUAGAGCGCUUGCCUAGGAAGCGCAAGGCCCUGGCUUCAGUCCCCA